AUCCAUCAGCCGGUUAUCGAACCUGGGGCGCCCGCGUGGCAGGCGAGCAUUCUAUCACUGAACCAAAAGCAAAGGGUGACAGA
Molecule: transfer RNA, 83 nt
Filed under: Cordylochernes scorpioides
Lineage: Eukaryota; Metazoa; Arthropoda; Arachnida; Pseudoscorpiones; Chernetidae
Description: tRNA-Gly
Source: RNAcentral